GACGGGAAGAGCUUGCUCUUUUCAGAAUUGAGUGGCAAACGGGUGAGUAACACGUAAACAACCUGCCUUCAGGAUGGGGACAACAGACGGAAACGACUGCUAAUACCGAAUAAGUUCCAAGAGCCGCAUGGCCCAUGGAAGAAAAGGUGGCCUCUACCUGUAAGCUAUCGCCUGAAGAGGGGUUUGCGUCUGAUUAGCUGGUUGGAGGGGUAACGGCCCACCAAGGCGACGAUCAGUAGCCGGUCUGAGAGGAUGAACGGCCACACUGGAACUGAGACACGGUCCAGACUCCUACGGGAGGCAGCAGUGGGGAAUCUUCCGCAAUGGGCGAAAGCCUGACGGAGCAACGCCGCGUGAGUGAUGACGGCCUUCGGGUUGUAAAACUCUGUGAUCCGGGACGAAAAGGCAGAGUGCGAAGAACAAACUGCAUUGACGGUACCGGAAAAGCAAGCCACGGCUAACUACGUGCCAGCAGCCGCGGUAAUACGUAGGUGGCAAGCGUUGUCCGGAAUUAUUGGGCGUAAAGCGCGCGCAGGCGGCUUCCCAAGUCCCUCUUAAAAGUGCGGGGCUUAACCCCGUGAUGGGAAGGAAACUGGGAAGCUGGAGUAUCGGAGAGGAAAGUGGAAUUCCUAGUGUGGCGGUGAAAUGCGUAGAGAUUAGGAAGAACACCGGUGGCGAAGGCGACUUUCUGGACGAAAACUGACGCUGAGGCGCGAAAGCGUGGGGAGCAAACAGG
Molecule: ribosomal RNA, 736 nt
Filed under: uncultured Peptococcaceae bacterium
Lineage: Bacteria; Bacillati; Bacillota; Clostridia; Eubacteriales; Peptococcaceae
Description: bacterial SSU rRNA
Rfam family: Bacterial small subunit ribosomal RNA
Source: RNAcentral